GACGAACGCUGGCGGCGUGCUUAACACAUGCAAGUCGAACGGAAAGGCCCUGCUUGCGGGGUACUCGAGUGGCGAACGGGUGAGUAACACGUGGGUGAUCUGCCCUGCACUUCGGGAUAAGCUUGGUAAACUGGGUCUAAUACCGGAUAGGACCGAACUUGAGAGGGUGGGGUGGAAAGUUUUUUCGGUGUAGGAUGAGAGGGCGGCCUAUCAGCUUGUUGGUGGGGUAAUUGCCGACCAGAGGGGCGGCGGGUAGACGGCCUGAGAGGGUGUACGGCCACACUAGGACUGGAAAACGCCCCAGACUCCUACGGGAGGCUAGAGUGGGGAAUAGUGCACAAUUGGCGCAAGCCGGAUGCAGCGACGCCGCGGGGGUAAGGAAGGCCUUCGGGUUGUAAACACCGUUCGCUAGGUACGAAGCUUUUUGUGACGGUACCUAGAGAAGAAGCACCGGCUAACUACGUG
This 465-nucleotide ribosomal RNA is filed under the name uncultured bacterium. Its description in RNAcentral is "partial 16S ribosomal RNA". It matches the Rfam family "Bacterial small subunit ribosomal RNA", at positions 28 to 507 of the family's 1533-position model. The record is from RNAcentral.